UGUGUAGGCGGUUGCGCAAGUCUGGUGUGAAAUCUUCAUCGCUCAACGGGAAGAGGUCACUGGAAACUGCGUGACUCGAGUAUGGUAGAGGCAAGCGGAAUUCCUGGUGUAGCGGUGGAAUGUGUAGAUAUCAGGAAGAACAUCUGUGGCGAAGGCGGCUUGCUGGGCCAUCACUGACGCUGAGACACGAAAGCGUGGGGAGCAAACGGGAUUAGAUACCCCGGUAGUCCACGCCUUAAACGGUGCGCACUAGGUGUGGGAGGUAUCGACCCCUCCUGUGCCGAAGUUAACACAUUAAGUGCGCCGCCUGGGGAGUACGGCCGCAAGGUUGAA
RNAcentral lists this ribosomal RNA (333 nucleotides) under uncultured bacterium. Its description in RNAcentral is "bacterial SSU rRNA". It matches the Rfam family "Bacterial small subunit ribosomal RNA", at positions 568 to 898 of the family's 1533-position model. The record is from RNAcentral.